CCUACGGGUGGCUGCAGUGAGGAAUAUUGGUCAAUGGGCGGAAGACUGAACCAGCCAAGUCGCGUGAGGGAUGAAGGUACAAUGGAUCGUAAACCUCUUUUAUCAGGGAAUAAAGUGUGGGACGUGUCCCAUUUUGAAUGUACCUUAUGAAUAAGGAUCGGCUAACUCCGUGCCAGCAGCCGCGGUAAUACGGAGGAUCCGAGCGUUAUCCGGAUUUAUUGGGUUUAAAGGGUGCGUAGGCGGCCUUUUAAGUCAGCGGUGAAAGUCUGUGGCUCAACCAUAGAAUUGCCGUUGAAACUGGGGGGCUUGAGUUGGUUGGAGGCAUGCGGAAUGCGUGGUGUAGCGGUGAAAUGCUUAGAUAUCACGCAGAACCCCGAUUGCGAAGGCAGCCUGCCAGGCCAUGACUGACGCUGAUGCACGAAAGCGUGGGGAUCAAACAGGAUUAGAUACCCGGGUAGUC
RNAcentral lists this ribosomal RNA (460 nucleotides) under uncultured bacterium. RNAcentral describes it as "partial 16S ribosomal RNA". It matches the Rfam family "Bacterial small subunit ribosomal RNA", at positions 338 to 795 of the family's 1533-position model. The record is from RNAcentral.